This 503-nucleotide ribosomal RNA is filed under the name uncultured Bacteroidota bacterium. Its description in RNAcentral is "uncultured Bacteroidetes bacterium partial 16S ribosomal RNA". The record is from RNAcentral. Lineage: Bacteria; Pseudomonadati; Bacteroidota.
GCUGACGGUGUAUUGCCACAACGAGUGAUCAACGUUUACUGCGUGGACUACCAGGGUAUCUAAUCCUGUUCGCUCCCCACGCUUUCGUGCCUGAGCGUCAGUGCCUGUUUGGUAAGCUGCCUUCGCAAUCGGUGUUCUGUACUAUAUCUAAGCAUUUCACCGCUACAUACUACAUUCCGCCUACCUCACCUGGACUCAAGGUGAGCAGUAUCAAAGGCAAUUCCACAGUUAAGCUGCGGGCUUUCACCUCUGACUUACCCACCCGCCUGCGCGCGCUUUAUACCCAAUGAAUCCGGAUAACGCUUGCUUCCUCCGUAUUACCGCGGCUGCUGGCACGGAGUUAGCCGAUGCUUAUUCCUGCUCUAGCGUCAAAGCCGUACACGUACGACUGUUUCUUGAAGCAGAACAGAAGUUUACAACCCAUAGGGCCGUCAUCCUUCACUCGGCAUGGCUGCGUCAGAGUUUCCUCCAUUGCCCAAUAUUCCACACUGCUGCCUCCCGUA